This 23-nucleotide small nuclear RNA is filed under the name Arabidopsis thaliana (thale cress). RNAcentral's name for it is "snRNA_09926". The record is from RNAcentral. Lineage: Eukaryota; Viridiplantae; Streptophyta; Magnoliopsida; Brassicales; Brassicaceae.
CUAAUCGUGUAGUUAAUGUGGAG